GGCUUAUUGAUGAUAAUUUUAAGUCUGACCUGCCCCCUGAGGAGUUAAAUGGCCGCGGUAUAUUGACCGUGCAAAGGUAGCAUAAUCAUUAGUUUUUUAAUUGGAAGCUAGAAUGAAAGGUUUGAUGAGAAAAAUUCUGUCUCUAUGAAAAUUUAUUAGAAUUUUAUUUUUAAGUAAAAAAGCUUAAAUUUAUAUAGAAGACGAGAAGACCCUAUAGAGUUUUAUAUAGACUUAUAAGAUUAGGCUUAAGGUAUGAGAAGUUUGUUUUAUUAGUUUGUAUUUGGUUGGGGUGAUGGAAAAAUUAGAUAAACUUUUUUUUUAUUUAAACACUUAUGUGUGGAUAUUUGAUCCUAAAAUUUAGAUUGAAAGAUUAAAUUACCUUAGGGAUAACAGCGUAAUUUUUCUUAGAGUUCUUAUCGAAAGGAAAGAUUGCGACCUCGAUGUUGGAUUAAAAUUAAUUAUUGGUGUAGAAGCUAAUAAAUUGGGUCUGUUCGACCUUUAAAAUUUUACAUGAUCUGAGUUUAAACCGGCGUGAG
Molecule: ribosomal RNA, 536 nt
Filed under: Trigonopterus sp. 923 AR-2022a
Lineage: Eukaryota; Metazoa; Arthropoda; Insecta; Coleoptera; Curculionidae
Description: partial large subunit ribosomal RNA
Rfam family: Bacterial large subunit ribosomal RNA
Source: RNAcentral